ACGAAGGGGGCUAGCGUUGUUCGGAUUUACUGGGCGUAAAGCGCACGUAGGCGGAUCGUUAAGUCGGGGGUGAAAUCCUGGAGCUCAACUCCAGAACUGCCUUCGAUACUGGCGAUCUUGAGUCCGGAAGAGGUGAGUGGAACUCCUAGUGUAGAGGUGGAAUUCGUAGAUAUCAAGCAGAACACCUGCGGCGAAGGCGGCCUUCUGGACGGUGACUGACGCUGAGACGCGAAAGCGUGGGGAGCAAACAGGA
RNAcentral lists this ribosomal RNA (253 nucleotides) under uncultured prokaryote. RNAcentral's name for it is "partial 16S ribosomal RNA". It matches the Rfam family "Bacterial small subunit ribosomal RNA", at positions 525 to 777 of the family's 1533-position model. The record is from RNAcentral.